This 253-nucleotide ribosomal RNA is filed under the name uncultured bacterium. RNAcentral describes it as "partial 16S ribosomal RNA". It matches the Rfam family "Bacterial small subunit ribosomal RNA", at positions 524 to 776 of the family's 1533-position model. The record is from RNAcentral.
UACGUAGGGGGCAAGCGUUGUCCGGAAUCAUUGGGCGUAAAGCGCGCGUAGGCGGCCCGGUAAGUCCGCUGUAAAAGUCCAGGGCUCAACCCUGGAAAGCCGGUGGAUACUGUCGGGCUAGAGUCCGGAAGAGGCGAGUGGAACUCCUGGUGUAGCGGUGGAAUGCGCAGAUAUCAGGAGGAACACCAAUGGCGAAGGCGGCUCUCUGGGACGGUACUGACGCUGAGACGCGAAAGCGUGGGGAGCGAACAGG